CGUAUCGAAGGGAAAAUCAAAGGCAAUACGAAUUAAGGGCUCAAAGUGAACAGGAAUGCUGCACUUGGAUAUCUGCAAUAAGAGAUGCCAGUUUCAACAAACUUUUGCUCCAGAAAGAGGAAUUGGAGCAGAAACAUUUGCAUCUGCUCCAAGUCGUGGAAAGCGAGAAAACUGCAAAAUGGCAAUAUACGCAACACUGUGAAGAAUUAGCUUCGGAAAUUAAGAAACUUAGAGCCGAGUUGUGUGCUUUGAAGAAAGAAUGGCGACCCAGCACUCCAGCAGUUCCUUCUUUAACUCAACAGAGUGGCAGCUGUGCCACUUUGGGGACCUCCAGCAUUGGAUCUGGCAGUCAACCAGUUUCUCCAAUACCACAAG
Long non-coding RNA from Ctenocephalides felis (cat flea), 375 nucleotides. RefSeq lists it as uncharacterized. The transcript is spliced from 3 exons. Lineage: Eukaryota; Metazoa; Arthropoda; Insecta; Siphonaptera; Pulicidae. The record is from RefSeq and is a predicted model, not a curated record.